RNAcentral lists this non-coding RNA (261 nucleotides) under Clostridium acidisoli. Its description in RNAcentral is "T-box sequence". It matches the Rfam family "T-box leader". From Rfam's summary of the family: Uncharged tRNA acts as the effector for transcription antitermination of genes in the T-box leader family. T-boxes are found upstream of many aminoacyl-tRNA synthetase genes and some amino acid biosynthetic genes usually in Gram-positive bacteria. The record is from RNAcentral. Lineage: Bacteria; Bacillati; Bacillota; Clostridia; Eubacteriales; Clostridiaceae.
AUAAAUGUGUUGAUUGAGAAAAGUAAAUUUCAUAGCACUUAGUAAGAGACUUAUCAUUUGGUGGGAGAUAAGAUUUGUGAAGAAAUUGAAAAUCACUCAUGAGUAACUUUAGCUGAAGAUAUAAUUAUUGUGUAAGCAUAGUCGGUAGCAACCGUUAUAUUGCAAAAUAUUGAAUAGGAUUUUUCUUGAGAUAUUUUGAGAGGUUACUUUUUAAGUAACAAGUAGAGUGGUACCGCAGAGUUUUUAGACUUUGUCUCUAAU